GAGUUUGAUCAUGGCUCAGAACGUACGCUGGCGGCACGCCUAACACAUGCAAGUCGAACGCAGUAGCAAUACUGAGUGGCGAACGGGUGAGUAUAAUGUAGGUAUCUGCCUUUUGGUUUGGAAUAACACGGGGAAACCUGUGCUAAUACCGGAUAAGCCUUCACAGGGAAAGUUUUAACGCCAAAAGAUGAGCCUGCACUUGAUUAGCUAGUUGGUAAGGUAAUGGCUUACCAAGGCUACGAUCAAUAGCUGUUCUUAGAGGAAGAUCAGCCACAUUGGGACUGAGACACGGCCCAAACUCCUACGGGAGGCAGCAGUGGGGAAUAUUGCACAAUGGGGGAAACCCUGAUGCAGCGAUGCCGCGUGAGUGAAGAAGGCCUUUGGGUUGUAAAGCUCUUUCGUCGGGGAAGAAAAUGACUGUACCCGAAUAAGAAGGUCCGGCUAACUUCGUGCCAGCAGCCGCGGUAAUACGAAGGGACCUAGCGUAGUUCGGAAUUACUGGGCUUAAAGAGCUCGUAGGUGGUUAGAAAAGUUGGUGGUGAAAUCCCAAGGCUUAACCUUGGAACUGCCAUCAAAACUUUUUAACUAGAGUAUGAUAGAGGAAAGUGGAAUUUCUAGUGUAGAGGUGAAAUUCGUAGAUAUUAGAAAGAACACCAAUUGCGAAGGCAGCUUUCUGGAUCAUUACUGACACUGAGGAGCGAAAGCAUGGGUAGCGAAGAGGAUUAGAUACCCUCGUAGUCCAUGCCGUAAACGAUGUGUGCUAGACGUUGGAAAUUUAUUUUUCAGUGCCGCAGCAAAAGCGAUAAGCACACCGCCUGGGGAGUACGACCGCAAGGUUAAAACUCAAAUGAAUUGACGGGGACCCGCACAAGUAGUGGAGCAUGUGGUUUAAUUCGAAGAUACGCGCAGAACCUUGCCGACACUUGACAUGUUCGUCGCGACUCUAAGAGAUUAGAGUCUUCGGUUCGGCCGGACGAAACACAGGUGCUGCAUGGCUGUCGUCAGCUCGUGUCGUGAGAUGUUGGGUUAAGUCCCGCAACGAGCGCAACCCCUAUCCUUAGUUGCCAGCGAGUCAAGUCGGGAACUCUAAGGAGACUGCCCCGGAAAUCGGGGAGGAAGGUGGGGAUGACGUCAAGUCCUCAUGGCCUUUAUGUCCAGGGCUACACACGUGCUACAAUGGGCGGUACAGCGGGUAGCGAAAUCGCGAGAUGGAGCCAAUCCCUAAAGCCGUCCUCAGUUCGGAUUGCAGUCUGCAACUCGACUGCAUGAAGUUGGAAUCGCUAGUAAUCCCGGAUCAGCAUGCCGGGGUGAAUACGUUCCCGGGCCUUGUACACACCGCCCGUCACAUCACGAAAGUCGGUUGUACCGGAAGCCGGUGGGCUAACCUUCGGGAGGCAGCUGUCCAUGGUAUGAUUGGCGAUUGGGGUGAAGUCGUAACAAGGUAACC
This 1447-nucleotide ribosomal RNA is filed under the name uncultured bacterium. RNAcentral's name for it is "partial 16S ribosomal RNA". It matches the Rfam family "Bacterial small subunit ribosomal RNA". The record is from RNAcentral.